AGUGAACGCUGGCGGUAGGCCUAACACACGCAAGUCGAACGGCAGCACAGUAAGAGCUUGCUCUUACGGGUGGCGAGUGGCGGACGAGUGAGGAAUACAUCGGAAUCUACUUUUUCGUGGGGGAUAACGUAGGGAAACUUACGCUAAUACCGCAUACGACCUACGGGUGAAAGCAGGGGAUCUUCGGACCUUGCGCGAUUGAAUGAGCCGAUGUCGGAUUAGCUAGUUGGCGGGGUAAAGGCCCACCAAGGCGACGAUCCGUAGCUGGUCUGAGAGGAUGAUCAGCCACACUGGAACUGAGACACGGUCCAGACUCCUACGGGAGGCAGCAGUGGGGAAUAUUGGACAAUGGGCGCAAGCCUGAUCCAGCCAUACCGCGUGGGUGAAGAAGGCCUUCGGGUUGUAAAGCCCUUUUGUUGGGAAAGAAAAGCAGCAGGUUAAUACCCCGCUGUUCUGACGGUACCCAAAGAAUAAGCACCGGCUAACUUCGUG
Molecule: ribosomal RNA, 492 nt
Filed under: uncultured bacterium
Lineage: Bacteria
Description: partial 16S ribosomal RNA
Rfam family: Bacterial small subunit ribosomal RNA
Source: RNAcentral